Molecule: long non-coding RNA, 513 nt
Filed under: Gadus morhua (Atlantic cod)
Lineage: Eukaryota; Metazoa; Chordata; Actinopteri; Gadiformes; Gadidae
Description: lncRNA (ENSGMOG00000026455.1)
Source: RNAcentral
GAGCAUUCAUCAGAGCGAGGGGCUGUACGGUGUCCAGGUGGAAAGCCAACACUGUGCCACAUAGCCUACAACAGGAUUCCACAUCAUGUGGAAUAUUUGCCAUCAAAGUAAGUUUUUGAAUUGCAUAUUUCUUUACGGAAACAUGAAGCCGAUUUUGAAAAGGUCUCCUUUUUCAACAUUUAAACUCCUAGAGAGACAUAAAGUUGAUGAAUUUUGAUUAAGUUAAACUGGGCCAGUAUGUUUUGAAUAUUCAUUUAUUCAAACAUGUUCUUAGUAUGCUGAGAAAGUCCUGGCCGAGGAGUCUCCUACUUUCCCAAACUCUCAAGAGGCAGUGGUUAAAUACAGGAGGGAAAUUGCUGUAGCACUUCUCAAUGAGACUGAUCCAGUGUGACACCUGUGGAAGGUGGUGCCACGAGGGUUGUGUUGGGAGACCUGACAGAGAUCAUAUGUACAGCUGUCCUGCAUGCCCCCAGGCUCAAAUGAGUCGAUGCCGUCCAAAACCGUCCAAAGAAA